This is a long non-coding RNA of Notothenia coriiceps (black rockcod), 116 nucleotides long. RefSeq lists it as uncharacterized. The transcript is spliced from 3 exons. Lineage: Eukaryota; Metazoa; Chordata; Actinopteri; Perciformes; Nototheniidae. The record is from RefSeq and is a predicted model, not a curated record.
GCCAAAGACAAUAUAAGGUAAAACCUAAUAGAGUUCAUACAUAAUACCCUAAUAAAACGUAAAAUGUAACAACUACUAACAGUGCAACAAAACCAGUAAGAAUUAAAUGUGGUCUC